GCAUGCACGAGUCAUGCAUUUUACAACACCGGGGCGACAGUCCCGCUUCCUUUAGCAUUUCCACCUCGUGACAUUUUUCUCUAUGUUCCAUAAAUCAAAGACCUCGACCUGCCGAGCUGAGGAGAAGAAAGAAGGCCUGUGAGGAAAACAGAGAAAGACACACUUUCAUACAGAAAGCGCUUAUGAUUUGGAGAGGUUCCUGUUGAUGCUCGUCUCUUCUGAUGAAUGCUCACAGGUGCAGGAGCAGUGCCUCUGCAUUUGACUCCAGCCCAUGGGGAGCCAGUGUGAAGGGUCUCGCUAAAGGACACAUGGUGCCAGAGGCGUGGAUUGAGCAGAGGAUGUGAUGCUUCCUGGACCCAUUCUCGACCUACUGAGGUUUGCCGUUGGAGGUGAAGUAUACGCUGAGUCGUGUAUGAAAUCAGUCCCAUGAGGUGUGAGAAGCUAGACUAAACUGGAGGACGCAGCCUGUUUAGCAACACGUCA
RNAcentral lists this long non-coding RNA (483 nucleotides) under Betta splendens (Siamese fighting fish). RNAcentral describes it as "lncRNA (ENSBSLG00000024204.1)". Lineage: Eukaryota; Metazoa; Chordata; Actinopteri; Anabantiformes; Osphronemidae. The record is from RNAcentral.